UACGUAGGGCGCAAGCGUUGUCCGGAAUCAUUGGGCGUAAAGGGCGCGUAGGUGGCGGGACAAGCGUGCGGUGAAAGCUCGGGGCUCAACCCCGAGUCGGCCGUGCGAACUGUCUUGCUUGAGCACUGUAGAGGCAGGCGGAAUUCCGGGUGUAGCGGUGGAAUGCGUAGAGAUCCGGAAGAACACCGGUGGCGAAGGCGGCCUGCUGGGCAGUUGCUGACACUGAGGCGCGAAGGCGUGGGGAGCGAACAGG
Molecule: ribosomal RNA, 253 nt
Filed under: uncultured bacterium
Lineage: Bacteria
Description: partial 16S ribosomal RNA
Rfam family: Bacterial small subunit ribosomal RNA
Source: RNAcentral